UGGGGAAUUUGGGACAAUGGGGGAAACCCUGAUCCAGCCAUCCCGCGUGUGCGAUGAAGGCCUUCGGGUUGUAAAGCACUUUUGGCAGGAAAGAAACGUCAUGGGUUAAUACCCCGUGAAACUGACGGUACCUGCAGAAUAAGCACCGGCUAACUACGUGCCAGCAGCCGCGGCAAUACGUAGGGUGCAAGCGUUAAUCGGAAUUACUGGGCGUAAAGCGUGCGCAGGCGGUUCGGAAAGAAAGAUGUGAAAUCCCAGAGCUCAACUUUGGAACUGCAUUUUUAACUACCGGGCUAGAGUGUGUCAGAGGGGAGUGGGAUUCCGCGUGUAGCAGUGAAAUGCGUAGAUAUGCGGAGGAACACCGAUGGCGAAGGCAGCCUCCUGGGAUAACACUGACGCUCAUGCACGAAAGCGUGGGGAGCAAACAGG
This 429-nucleotide ribosomal RNA is filed under the name Acidobacteriota bacterium. Its description in RNAcentral is "Acidobacteria bacterium partial 16S ribosomal RNA". It matches the Rfam family "Bacterial small subunit ribosomal RNA", at positions 355 to 776 of the family's 1533-position model. The record is from RNAcentral. Lineage: Bacteria; Pseudomonadati; Acidobacteriota.